RNAcentral lists this ribosomal RNA (377 nucleotides) under uncultured Bacteroidota bacterium. Its description in RNAcentral is "bacterial SSU rRNA". It matches the Rfam family "Bacterial small subunit ribosomal RNA", at positions 359 to 734 of the family's 1533-position model. Lineage: Bacteria; Pseudomonadati; Bacteroidota. The record is from RNAcentral.
GAAUAUUGGUCAAUGGGCGCAAGCCUGAACUAGCCAUCCCGCGUGCAGGAUGACGGCCCUAUGGGUUGUAAACUGCUUUUAUACACCAAGAAAAACCCCGACGUGUCGGGACUCGACGGUAGUGUAUGAAUAAGCAUCGGCUAACUCCGUGCCAGCAGCCGCGGUAAUACGGAGGAUGCAAGCGUUAUCCGGAUUCCUUGGGUUUAAGGGUGCCUAGGCGGCUUUUUAAGUCAGUGGUGAAAUCCUGCCGCUUAACGGUAGAAUUGCCAUUGAUACUGAAGAGCUUGAGUACAGUUGAGGUAAGCGGAAUGUGUAGUGUAGCGGUGAAAUGCUUAGAUAUUACACAGAACACCAAUUGCGAAGGCAGCUUACUAAAC